GGAAUUUUCCGCAAUGGGCGAACGCCUGACGGAGCAAUCUCGCGUGAGGGAUGACUGCCUAUGGGUUGUAAACCUCUUUUUUCAGGGAGGAAUCAAUGACGUGUACCUGAAGAAUAAGCAUCGGCUAACUCAGUGCCACAAGCCGCGGUAAGACGGAUGAUGCAAGUGUUAUACGGAAUCACUGGGCGUAAAGCGUCUGUAGGUGGUUUAAUAAGUCAACUGUUAAAUCUUGAAGCUCAACUUCAAAAUCGCAGUUGAAACUAUUAGACUAGAGUAUAGUAGGGGUAAAGGGAAUUUCCAGUGGAGCGGUGAAAUGCGUAGAGAUUGGAAAGAACACCGAUGGCGAAGGCACUUUACUGGGCUAUUACUGACACUCAGAGACGAAAGCUAGGGUAGCAAAU
RNAcentral lists this ribosomal RNA (401 nucleotides) under uncultured bacterium. RNAcentral describes it as "bacterial SSU rRNA". It matches the Rfam family "Bacterial small subunit ribosomal RNA", at positions 358 to 773 of the family's 1533-position model. The record is from RNAcentral.